AUUGAACGCUGGCGGCAGGCCUAACACAUGCAAGUCGAGCGGUAGAGAGGUGCUUGCAUCUCUUGAGAGCGGCGGACGGGUGAGUAAUGCCUAGGAAUCUGCCUAGUGGUGGGGGAUAACGUUCGGAAACGGACGCUAAUACCGCAUACGUCCUACGGGAGAAAGCGGGGGAUCUUCGGACCUCGCGCCAUUAGAUGAGCCUAGGUCGGAUUAGCUAGUUGGUGAGGUAAUGGCUCACCAAGGCGACGAUCCGUAACUGGUCUGAGAGGAUGAUCAGUCACACUGGAACUGAGACACGGUCCAGACUCCUACGGGAGGCAGCAGUGGGGAAUAUUGGACAAUGGGCGAAAGCCUGAUCCAGCCAUGCCGCGUGUGUGAAGAAGGUCUUCGGAUUGUAAAGCACUUAAGUUGGGAGGAAGGGUAGUAACCUAAUACGUUGCUACUUUGACGUUACCGACAGAAUAAGCACCGGCUAAC
This 477-nucleotide ribosomal RNA is filed under the name uncultured bacterium. Its description in RNAcentral is "bacterial SSU rRNA". It matches the Rfam family "Bacterial small subunit ribosomal RNA", at positions 30 to 501 of the family's 1533-position model. The record is from RNAcentral.